This 305-nucleotide ribosomal RNA is filed under the name uncultured bacterium. Its description in RNAcentral is "bacterial SSU rRNA". It matches the Rfam family "Bacterial small subunit ribosomal RNA", at positions 28 to 334 of the family's 1533-position model. The record is from RNAcentral.
GACGAACGCUGGCGGCGUGCCUAACACAUGCAAGUCGAACGGAGUUGUUCCUUCGGGGACAACUUAGUGGCGAACGGGUGAGUAACGCGUGAGGAACCUACCUUUCAGUGGGGGACAACAGUUGGAAACGACUGCUAAUACCGCAUAAUGUAUCUGGACCGCAUGAUCCGGAUACCAAAGAUUUAUUGCUGAAAGAUGGCCUCGCGUCUGAUUAGAUAGUUGGUGAGGUAACGGCUCACCAAGUCGACGAUCAGUAGCCGGUCUGAGAGGAUGAACGGCCACAUUGGGACUGAGAUACGGCCCAG